GUUGGCACAGAAAAAUCUUUAUGGCGACAAUAGAACACCUACCUAAGAAGAACACACUGGGAAGAAGUUUUCCGAGUCCUGGAGGUGUGAGUAAGAGAAAAUCCAGCCUUCUGGAACAGUGCUGACAGCUUCAGAGGGAGCAGGAAGGAGCAAAGAGAAAGGAGCCUGAGAUGUGUGGUUGCAGCUCUCCGAGGAGAUGAAAAGGACACAGGGUUUUGGUCUGAACUUCAUUAUCUGUAACUAAGAUACUGCCAUUCUUCAGCGGGUUGACAAGAUGUCUGUGGUAUACUUGGCAAGAUGGAGACUCCUCCAGGGCAGUAGUAGUCCUCAUAAUGCUCAGUAAUAGCCUUCACAAUGCUUCAGAUAUAGGAGCUAGGGGAAAGGACUUGAAUCGGAGAGAGUGUCGCUGUCGGUUCUGUUCUGUCCUGGGAAGUGCACGAGGAAGAGAAAACGUCCGGGGAAGAGAGAGGGUGGCUGGCACUGAAGGGGAGGGUCUGCGGCAACCCCUAUGUUUUAACUGAAAACUGAAAUCAACAAAUAGCAACAGAACUAUUACUAGUACAAAAUCCACCUGGAUG
RNAcentral lists this long non-coding RNA (578 nucleotides) under Ailuropoda melanoleuca (giant panda). Its description in RNAcentral is "lncRNA (ENSAMEG00000026865.1)". Lineage: Eukaryota; Metazoa; Chordata; Mammalia; Carnivora; Ursidae. The record is from RNAcentral.